GCCACUAUUAGGUUGAAUAAAGAAAACCCAACUGAUUUUUAAACUUGACCAUAAAUCAAACAAGUGCGCAGUCAUCCACGGCGCUUGCCCACUAUGACAACAUUGACGCAAGUGAAGGAACGUACACUGGCAGGGUUGCUAAGAGGGAGCAAAGAACGAGGAAACUAACUGGGCGGAAUGAUGAUGCCCAUGGACACACUCUGCAUCUGGGACCGUCACCCAAGCAGUCAACGAAGGCAAAUGUCAGCAUGCGCUGUGUCCACGCUUGAGUGUGCUGCACUCAGCCCCACCACCUGGCCCUCCUUGCUCAGCCACCGAGUUUGGGCAGCAGUGACACUGCGGAGCCGUUCCCUAGGGUGAAGGGGAACAUCUCUGCACUCAUGCUUGGCUACAUGCACGCAUGUACACCAACACCUCCCGCAUUCCCUGCUCUUUUUCACACAAGAGACACAAAAAACAGCAAGGGACUUGUGCAGUCUCAUUCACAACACUCACGCUUCGUUGUAUGGAUUUUCAUUUAUCAAACUCAAAUGCAAUCCACAUAAGAUUUAGAGGCCAAUGCCAUCCAUUCAUUUUGGAUUUCCACAUUGUAAAAAGAGAUGAAUAUGUCCUUUGAAAUAUCAGGCGCAGACUGAAUGCUCAUUUACGGUGUAGGAGCAAGGAUGGACUGAAGAUGGAUCUGCUCAUGCAGAGUGAGCAAUCAAGAGAAAGGCCAGGCAACACCAAAUGUCUUAUUAAUUCACUAAUUUGCUGUGACUGUAAGGCAUGAAAAGCUUGCUUCCUUGCCAUCUGAGGCCAAAAGGAACUCAGUGCCAUGUUGCCCACACACAAAUACAUUGUUUUAAAUGGCCUACUUUCAUGCGCGUUGGUGGGAAUGAAGACAAAUCGCUCUUGACUAGCUCCACCAGGGGACAAGUCUUUUAGUGCCUUGCAAAGCAAAACUGUUGAACUCACUAAAAGUACUAUAUAAAAUCACAGCUGAAUGGAAACAAAGUAGACUUUUUCAGAUGAGUAGAAAACUUUGUACCCAUUCCCUCAGCUGUCAAUGACAUUGCUGCACAUUGAGUUACUCAAGUGAUAAAUCCCUGAUAACAUGGCAUUCAAAAGCUCAACUUGGAAUCAUGUUAUCGCUUGUCUAACCCCACCUGGGUUAGACCAGUACUGUGAAAGAUAAUGUCAGGUCAAUGUACAUUCAAAAGAAAUCAAUGGAAUGUCAAUACACAAGAUAGAACAGUUGGUUCAAACCUAAAACUAGGUCUGGUUAAAUUGUAUAUAUUCUCACUAUUAAGGCACCACACGUCAAGAUUUCUCAAUGGCCUGUGACGUCCUAUGUUGACGAUAAUGUUGAGGAUCAUGAGCUCACUCACUCACUCACUGCGGCCUUCGGAGGACCAGCCUGAGACACCUGCCAAAAUGUAACACGUAUACCUAGCACCUCAUAUGACCAUAUGACUGUGCUAUUAAGUGUGGACCUCUACUGACACACACAGUCAUAUGAGGAACAAUAUACACCAAGGGACAUGAACUAGAAUGGCAAGCGUGCACUACUUGACCCCAAUCCCAACCACACCUUUUUUCAUGUGAUAACAGCGUUUAUGGUAUCAGGAAACAUAGCGGAAGGCAAUACGUGACUAAACACUAAACCUAAAGCGUCAACAUGAAAUGGCGCAGGCGUCCACUUGAUUUAAUACUGAGCGUGAAAAAUUCCCAAGGCAAACAUUAUCCUAAACAACUUGCUAUUACACCUUAAAUACCCUCCAGUUAAUAUCAGUGAUAAAAUUAUAUGACCACUAGUUUACUUGUCAUUGCAGUUUUAAAAACAUUCGAGAAGGCCUUCAGGUAAUAACAGUAAAUGGGUAGUUAGAUCUGUUUAAUAAUUCUGUUUGAUAAAAAAAGAACACAAAAGACAGGCGACAAAAAUAUUAGGUCUUACAGGUCCAGUUACAGACAGGCCAGACAAAUUAGUAACCAUUAUGUGAAAACUACAAGACUGCAUUGCAUCAGACGAAGAUAUAAACCAACAGCUUUAACGUCUGGAGUGGAAGCAUUUUGUGUUCUUCCUUCUCAGCUGCAGUCUAGUUCCGUGAGGUCAAUUUAUCUUUAUGAUGAGAUUCUGGUACUUCAGCUGAAGACCUUGGUGGGACGAGAGCACAGUUAAUCGACAUGCUUUAUUUCCACCAAUGCAUUUGUUGGAGACUGAGGAAAUAAUAAGAGCCCUGAUGGUUUUCUAGUCUUCUGGAAAAAAAAGACAGCACAACUGUGGCUUCAGUGAAAAAAAAAUGUCCUUCACACAGACGAUUUCGCAGUUGGAUUAGUGUUGGCACACUAGGUCAUUACUUCCAAUAAGGGCCCAUAUUUUUAACCAACUUGGUCAAACAGUGUAGGGGCAAGCACACAACAAGAAAGGUACCUUGUAAGCUCCAAAGCAGUAAGUCAGACAAGCUUUAAGAACAUCACAAUAUCCUGAUGAACUUUGCGAGGCAGUCCUUCAAAUUGUUUAAAAGUAAUGAAGGAAAGUGACAGAUGAUCCAAAACAUGCAACUGUUACAUCAAUUCUGAUGAUGAAACAGGAUUUUAGGUGAAGGUUUUGAUUACUUCUAUCACUUCUCUUUCACCAACAGUGCAAGGUCUGUUCGUUCCUGAAGCUGUGUGUGCCUCAGUGGGUAACAGAGUGCGGCAUAUAGUUGUAUGUUUUUUUUAAAGAGAAACUGCAAAUCCAUCAGGUAUGUAAUGUACUUGGCAGAUACAUUACAUCCACAUCCUGACAGGACACAACAAAUAACAUCAGCCACUGAUGACAUCAACAUGGCUCCAUUCUAACUGAAGGGCAGGUUAUAGGGCAACUGGAAAGACUUCACCAACAGACAAGCUGCAGGCCAUGACGGCAUAACCGCCAAGGACACAGAGUACAGCCGUCCUGUGGGCUGAUCGUUGUGUAGCACCACAUCUAUGAUCUUCCAUAGCCCAGAAUCUGUCCCCAGUCAGUCAACAACAGGAGAUAAGUGUCACUUGGACUACUGAUCAGACAGACUACAAUUUGUUCGGCCGGGAGAUGUUCUGCCUGACGAAGAGGUAAGUAUGGAGCUGUGCUCCAAAGGGGAUGAUGCAAUCAUCAUUCCUCUUCACCUUGUACACCACAACACAAAACUUGCCACCUUCAGAAAUAUUCUACGACUCUGCAGUCUUCCAGGUGUCAUCCAUGUGUGCAACAAUGAACAGUCUGCUGUGUAUUCCAAGGUCAUAGCUGUAGAAGCACACAAUUUAUCUUACACAAUACACUAUCCAUUAUCCAGUUGUCUGAAUAUUCUUAACAAUGCAUUUGCACCCGUUUUAUUUUAAUGUAUGUACAGUUUUUUUCCUUCUCUUUGUAUUGUGUUGCGUGUGAAAUUUCCCACAUUGGGAUCAAUAAAGUGAAUCUAUCAAUGAGAAAGGAGAUCCAAUCAGAAUUCAGCCAGCUUGUGUUGCCAGGUUGUAUAAAAUCAGUCCAAGGCCUUCAAAAUCACCAGUGCAGGCAUAGGUGCACUUUGAGUGAACAGGCACGUAUAGUUGAAGGAUAGUUGCCGUGGCCAAUCAGAUCACGAGUGGAGGACAGCAAUUGUCAUUGGAUACUCAUACAGUAAUUUCUUGACUAACCGCUACUUUUUUAUUCGCUCGCCGAACCCUGUGGCUUAAACAUACAUUUUACUGUAAAACAAGCUUCAGACCGAUGAAAUCACAGAUUUUUAGUGAUAACCCAGCGCUUAUUGCGCUGUUCUGCGCCCUGCAUUUCCUCUGCAUCUACACCUAGAUAACCCAGGUCUGAGAAAGGGUUUGUUGGUCACUACCAACAAGCGACUAUGGCAGCGAUGGGUGAGUGCAAUAAUU
Long non-coding RNA from Synchiropus splendidus (mandarinfish), 3864 nucleotides. RefSeq lists it as uncharacterized. NCBI's taxonomy places the organism in Eukaryota, Metazoa, Chordata, Actinopteri, Syngnathiformes, Callionymidae. The transcript is spliced from 4 exons. The record is from RefSeq and is a predicted model, not a curated record.